AAAAACAGUGCAUGGACAUUAUGUUCCCUCUUUACAGGUAAAACCUAAUAUGCUACUAUUUUUAUACCGGCCAUUUGAUUUUAUUUUACACACUAUUUUUUAUUGUUUCGCCUUUUUGGGUUCAUUGCGCUGGCAUAUAAUCCUUUUUUUUUGUCACAACUUUUAUAUUAAAAUUAAACGCUCAAAAAUCUUAAACAGUUAUAACUGGAACGACUAGAUGACAAACGAAAACUACAACAGCAAUAAGAGAGAUAGAAGUGUUAAGAGGGGUGAAAAUACCCGUAGAAAUGCUUCACUUGAGACCCCGAAACUGAUGUUCCCAAGAACAUACUGAAGUCGGGAUAUGAACUGACGAUGAGGAGCCCUAUCAAGAGGGUUUGGAAACGGUUGGUAUAAGACACCAACACUUGUGAUAAGAGGCUUCCGCUUGAUGACAAUGUGACGAACAAAUGAGCCGAGAAUGACAACUGAGGUAGGAGACCUCUAGACCAACGUGCAUACCUAAGACACGUAUGAAAUGUUGAGGUGCGUCUGCAGGCAUGGCAGGAAGAAAGGGAAUACACUCCAUAAAGGAAGCUUGGUCAAGGAGAGUUGAGCCAUAAACUCCGGUUCUAGAGUACUCGUUGGAUUGAGCAGACAAUGCAACUACCGUACACAAG
RNAcentral lists this long non-coding RNA (659 nucleotides) under Brassica napus (rape). RNAcentral's name for it is "long non-coding RNA (BNAP_LNC012079)". Lineage: Eukaryota; Viridiplantae; Streptophyta; Magnoliopsida; Brassicales; Brassicaceae. The record is from RNAcentral.